AUGUAGCUAGUUAGAUCUAGCAGCACUGCCAUCAAUAUUAAGGGUUCAGUGGGACCAUUCUUUAAGUCCUCUGCGGGAGUGAAACAGGGGGACCCCAUCUCCUCACUCCUCUUCAACCUUGCCGUUGAUGCCUUAGUAGGGAUCCUAGAUAAGGCUAGGAGGGUUGGCCACCUCUCGGGCGUAGUUGUGCAUUUGAUCCCAGGCAGAGGGGUCACCCACCUACAAUAUGUUGACGAUACUAUGAUUAUGGUGGAAGUGAAGGACCUUGAUAUCAUGAAUCUGAAGUUCCUGCUCCUCUGUUUUGAGGCGAUGUCUGGACUGAAGAUUAACUUUGAUAAGAGUGAGAUUGUUGUCAUGGGCUUCUCGAUGGAAUAA
This 375-nucleotide ribosomal RNA is filed under the name Triticum aestivum (bread wheat). RNAcentral describes it as "partial small subunit ribosomal RNA". The record is from RNAcentral. Lineage: Eukaryota; Viridiplantae; Streptophyta; Magnoliopsida; Poales; Poaceae.